This 102-nucleotide non-coding RNA is filed under the name bovine gut metagenome. RNAcentral's name for it is "Glycine riboswitch". It matches the Rfam family "Glycine riboswitch aptamer", at positions 9 to 86 of the family's 94-position model. From Rfam's summary of the family: This family represents the bacterial glycine riboswitch. The record is from RNAcentral.
UUUUCUCUGGAGAGUCCCGGACUGACGGGCGCCGAAGGUGUACGCCGCGCGCAAAGGCAAUAGCCGCGCAGUGGUAAUCUCUCAGGCAAAAGGACAGAGCGA